AUUGAACGCUGGCGGAAUGCUUUACACAUGCAAGUCGAACGGCAGCACGGGGGCAACCCUGGUGGCGAGUGGCGAACGGGUGAGUAAUACAUCGGAACGUGCCCGGUCGUGGGGGAUAACGUAGCGAAAGUUACGCUAAUACCGCAUACGAUCUGAGGAUGAAAGCGGGGGACCUUCGGGCCUCGCGCGAUCGGAGCGGCCGACGUCAGAUUAGGUAGUUGGUGGGGUAAAGGCCUACCAAGCCGACGAUCUGUAGCUGGUCUGAGAGGACGACCAGCCACACUGGGACUGAGACACGGCCCAGACUCCUACGGGAGGCAGCAGUGGGGAAUUUUGGACAAUGGGCGCAAGCCUGAUCCAGCCAUUCCGCGUGCAGGACGAAGGCCUUCGGGUUGUAAACUGCUUUUGUAUGGAACGAAAAGGCUCUGGCUAAUACCUGGGGCUCAUGACGGUACCGUAAGAAUAAGCACCGGCUAACUACGUG
RNAcentral lists this ribosomal RNA (484 nucleotides) under uncultured bacterium. RNAcentral's name for it is "partial 16S ribosomal RNA". It matches the Rfam family "Bacterial small subunit ribosomal RNA", at positions 30 to 507 of the family's 1533-position model. The record is from RNAcentral.